AUUGACAAUUGAGAAUUAAUAAAACAAAAUAAGAAACACUAAACUAACACUAAUUAGGAAUACUAAAGCCACACACAUUCCUAAAUAAAUAAAAUACUACUUAAUUAAAUUUCCUAAAUUUCUUCCUAAAAUGUGUACACUUGAAAUCUCUAGUAGAAGUUCCUGCAUCAUUCCCCUUGUUUGAAAAAAACUCGACUCCAAAAAGUUGAACUGCAAAUGAGAAUCCAAGAGAGAAGGAUCCAAAGUUUGAAAUUCUUCCUUAGUAAUCCAAGUAGCCUCAGAAUUGGAACAACCUAAUAACUAGUCCUUACAGUGGCGAGGAUUAGGGUAAACACAAGAAAGACAGCAGGUGAAGGAAGAAAAGCUCACAAAGAAAGCCAAAAAAUUCAGAUUGUAUUCUCUCGUCAAUUUUGAUCGGCAAAAUGGAUCCAAAGGUGCUUUGAUACCAAAUUGAUGGACUAGUUUUUAGUCCAUAGAUAUUUGUGUAUCUAAGUAUUUUAAAAGAGCUUAUUAUGAUUAUUAUUGACAAUUGAGAAUUUUAUUCCUUUUCCCUUUGAUUGUUCUAUUGGUUCUAC
This 575-nucleotide unclassified non-coding RNA is filed under the name Hevea brasiliensis (rubber tree). Lineage: Eukaryota; Viridiplantae; Streptophyta; Magnoliopsida; Malpighiales; Euphorbiaceae. The record is from RNAcentral.